Molecule: RNA transcript, 1455 nt
Organism: Contarinia nasturtii (swede midge)
Lineage: Eukaryota; Metazoa; Arthropoda; Insecta; Diptera; Cecidomyiidae
Exons: 5
Source: RefSeq, a predicted model, not a curated record
GUGUGUUUGCACCUUUACAUUUAUAAAAAACAAAAUAUUCUCAAGUUUCACAUAAAAUUUAUUUUGUCGAAAAAAAAAAAUCGCACACACACAUUACAAUUCAGUUGACUAAGCCAAACAAUAUUUAUGAAAAAUGAAGAUAAUUUUCUUAGUAUGUGCUUUUGUGCCACUAUUUGUUACUCCACUAAAGUGUGAAGAUUAUGAAAAUAUUUAUACUCCAGUGUUAGUUACCGAUUUAUCGCGAUUCUGCUUUAAUGCAGCCAUUCUACUUGCGGAAGGAGACACUAAGUGCAACGGAGCUAUAAUCUCUUCCACAAAAAUUGUUACAUCUUACAAAUGUAUGAUACAUUUUGAUGAACAUCACAGUAUGUAUUUGCCUUUUUCGAAAAAUAUUUCGGUUCGAGUCGGUUCAACAGAAAGAUUAAGUGGUGGAAUAAUAAGACAUGUGGAUAAUGUUCGGCGCAUUUCCUUUCCGCUUGAUGAUAUUACUCUUCGUAGGUAUCCAAAUAUACAACAUGCUAUUAAUGAUUUGGCUGUGCUUUCAUUUAAGAAACCAUUACCACUUGGGCCAACGAUUUGUCCAAUACGGUUGGCUGAAAAGAAAGAUGACAUUUACAUAAAAGAAGGAUCCCUCGUAGAAAUGAGCGGAUAUAAUACACAUAGAUUCCGCAAUAUCACGGAAUUAAGAUCUUUAACGUCGCAAAUAAUAGAGAUCAACAACAAAUGUCCAACUUUUCACAUAGAGGAAAGAUUUACCAUGUGUUCCAUGGAAGGUGCUCCUGUGAUUCUUAGACAAAAAUCAAAUUCAUCAACUACUAUGGAAGAACCAUUACUAUUAGGAAUUAGUGCAAAAGGUAGGAGGAUUACAGUAGAUCGUAACGAAAUUGUAAAAAUGUCGGCAUUUUCCAAAUGUUUAAUGGUAAGAUAACGAGAAAAUGUGCUUCACUGUUGCUUCCAGAUGCUGAAAUACCAUUCAAUAUUUAAAUUUAAUAAGUAAAUUAGCACUAGUGAUAUUUAGAGACAAAGAUAUGGUACCGUUUCUACUUGGAGUUAACGCCAGGAGACUCUUAAAGAACGUUACCCAUGAACCACUAGUUGAAACAAGCACCAGAAUCAAAGACUAUGUAGAUAGGAUUAAAUCUUUCUUCAAUCGUGAAGAAACAAAUGACAUCAUCCGAAGUAAUAAUCGCGAAAUUCAAAUUAUAGAUGCCUAUUAGUAUCGAUGCAGAAGAAUGUGAAUGAUUUCCAAUGUUUUGACGAUGAUUCAUUUCAUUAAAUCCAUAUCGAUCGCGUUAUCACACAUACGUUUGAGUCGGUUAAAAUGAUUCGUAAAAUUUUGUUAUUUUUUUUAUUUGUUUCUUCAUUUGGCAAAUAGAUCGCAUAUAUAAGUGCUUUUUGAAAUUCAUUUUGCUUAUACCUUUAUUUUUUUCUCUAAUGAAUUUGAAUUUUUUUUUU